This 77-nucleotide transfer RNA is filed under the name Candidatus Gracilibacteria bacterium CG_4_9_14_0_2_um_filter_38_7. Its description in RNAcentral is "tRNA-Ile". It matches the Rfam family "tRNA". Rfam says of the family: Transfer RNA (tRNA) molecules are approximately 80 nucleotides in length. Their secondary structure includes four short double-helical elements and three loops (D, anti-codon, and T loops). The record is from RNAcentral. Lineage: Bacteria; Candidatus Altimarinota. RNAcentral also lists the same sequence under 3 other names.
GGGUGCAUAGCUCAGUUGGUUAGAGCGCGUCUCUGAUAAGGACGAGGUCCGUGGUUCAACUCCACGUGCACCCACCA